CUUUCUUCGGAGAGUUUGAUCCUGGCUCAGAACGAACGCUGGCGGCGUGCCUAACACAUGCAAGUCGAACGGUAACAGGGACUUCGGUCCGCUGACG
Molecule: ribosomal RNA, 97 nt
Filed under: Zetaproteobacteria bacterium
Lineage: Bacteria; Pseudomonadati; Pseudomonadota; Candidatius Mariprofundia
Description: partial 16S ribosomal RNA
Rfam family: Bacterial small subunit ribosomal RNA
Source: RNAcentral